UACGUAGGGGGCAAGCGUUGUCCGGAUUCAUUGGGCGUAAAGAGCGUGUAGGCGGCCAGGUAGGUCGGUUGUGAAAACUGGAGGCUCAACCUUCAGAGGUCGACCGAAACCAUCUGGCUAGAGUCCGGGAGAGGAGAGUGGAAUUCCUGGUGUAGCGGUGAAAUGCGCAGAUAUCAGGAAGAACACCCGUGGCGAAAGCGGCUCUCUGGAACGGUACUGACGCUGAGGAGCGAAAAGCUGGGGAGCAAACAGGAUUAGAACCUUCCGUAGUCAGUCC
RNAcentral lists this ribosomal RNA (277 nucleotides) under uncultured bacterium. Its description in RNAcentral is "partial 16S ribosomal RNA". It matches the Rfam family "Bacterial small subunit ribosomal RNA", at positions 524 to 801 of the family's 1533-position model. The record is from RNAcentral.